GACGAACGCUGGCGGCGCGCCUAACACAUGCAAGUCGAACGAGAGAGAGGAAGCUUGCUUCCUCAAUCGAGUGGCGAACGGGUGAGUAACGCGUGAGGAACCUACCUCAAAGAGGGGGACAACAGUUGGAAACGACUGCUAAUACCGCAUAAGCCCACAGGUCGGCAUCGACCAGAGGGAAAAGGAGCAAUCCGCUUUGAGAUGGCCUCGCGUCCGAUUAGCUAGUUGGUGAGGUAAUGGCCCACCAAGGCGACGAUCGGUAGCCGGACUGAGAGGUUGAACGGCCACAUUGGGACUGAGACACGGCCCAGACUCCUACGGGAGGCAGCAGUGGGGAAUAUUGCACAAUGGGGGAAACCCUGAUGCAGCGACGCCGCGUGGAGGAAGAAGGUCUUCGGAUUGUAAACUCCUGUUGUUGAGGAAGAUAAUGACGGUACUCGACAAGGAAGUGACGGCUA
RNAcentral lists this ribosomal RNA (458 nucleotides) under uncultured bacterium. RNAcentral's name for it is "bacterial SSU rRNA". It matches the Rfam family "Bacterial small subunit ribosomal RNA", at positions 28 to 499 of the family's 1533-position model. The record is from RNAcentral.